AUUGAACGCUGGCGGCAUGCUUUACACAUGCAAGUCGAACGGCAGCGCGGGCUUCGGCCUGGCGGCGAGUGGCGAACGGGUGAGUAAUGCAUCGGAACGUGCCCAGUAGUGGGGGAUAGCCCGGCGAAAGCCGGAUUAAUACCGCAUACGACCUGAGGGUGAAAGCGGGGGGCCGAAAGGCCUCGCGCUAUUGGAGCGGCCGAUGUCGGAUUAGCUAGUUGGUGGGGUAAAGGCUUACCAAGGCGACGAUCCGUAGCUGGUCUGAGAGGACGACCAGCCACACUGGGACUGAGACACGGCCCAGACUCCUACGGGGGCAGCAGUGGGGAAUUUUGGACAAUGGGGGCAACCCUGAUCCAGCCAUGCCGCGUGCGGGAAGAAGGCCUUCGGGUUGUAAACCGCUUUUGUUCGGGAAGAAAUCCUCUGGGCUAAUACCCCGGGGGAUGACGGUACCGGAAGAAUAAGCACCGGCUAACUACGUG
This 482-nucleotide ribosomal RNA is filed under the name uncultured bacterium. Its description in RNAcentral is "partial 16S ribosomal RNA". It matches the Rfam family "Bacterial small subunit ribosomal RNA", at positions 28 to 507 of the family's 1533-position model. The record is from RNAcentral.